CGCCCGGUCUGCCGGCAACGCUGCGGCCCCGCCCACGUCAUGGCGCCCGAGGAGAACGCAGGGACCGAACUCUUGCUGCAGAGUUUCGAGCGCCGCUUCCUGGCGGCGCGCACACUGCGCUCCUUCCCCUGGCAGAGCUUAGAAGCAAAGUUAAGAGACUCAUCAGAUUCCGAGCUGCUGCGGGAUAUUUUGCACAAGACUGUGAAGCAUCCUGUGUGUGUGAAGCACCCGCCGUCCGUCAAAUAUGCCCGGUGCUUUCUCUCAGAACUCAUCAAAAAGCACGAGGCUGUCCACACAGAGCCUUUGGACGAGCUGUACGAGGCGCUGGCGGAGACCCUGAUGGCCAAGGAGUCCACCCAAGGCCACCGGAGCUAUUUGCUGCCCUCGGGAGGCUCGGUCACACUCUCCGAGAGCACGGCCAUCAUCUCCCACGGUACCACAGGCCUGGUCACAUGGGACGCCGCCCUCUACCUUGCAGAAUGGGCCAUCGAGAACCCGGCAGCCUUCACUAACAGGUGACCUCGGGGCGCAGGGCAGGGCACCGAGGCAGGCUUACCCUGGUGCAGUCGCAGACACGGUCCCCUUUCCUCCCGCCAGGACUGUCCUAGAGCUUGGCAGUGGUGCUGGCCUCACAGGCCUGGCCAUCUGCAAGAUGUGCCGCCCCCGGGCAUACAUCUUCAGCGACUGUCACAGCCGGGUCCUUGAGCAGCUCCGAGGGAAUGUCCUUCUCAAUGGCCUCUCAUUAGAGGCAGACAUCACUGCCAAGUUAGACAGCCCCAGGGUGACAGUGGCCCAGCUGGACUGGGACGUCGCGACGGUCCAUCAGCUCUCUGCCUUCCAGCCAGAUGUUGUCAUUGCAGCAGACGUGCUGUAUUGCCCAGAAGCCAUCGUGUCGCUGGUCGGGGUCCUGCAGAGGCUGGCUGCCUGCCGGGAGCACCAGCGGG
This 944-nucleotide small RNA is filed under the name Pan troglodytes (chimpanzee). RNAcentral describes it as "retained intron". The record is from RNAcentral. Lineage: Eukaryota; Metazoa; Chordata; Mammalia; Primates; Hominidae.